GCGACGGAGGAAAGCAUUCCUACAAUAACAUCAUCUCCACGGGAUCAUCUGCCAAUUCACCGCGGUUUUCCAGAGCAGCCCGCUCCCGCAAUCAUCUCUACGCCCAGAAGGAAAGUGAUUCGUGAACAUCUGAUCAACAUCCCGACUGUGGCUCCAGUCUCCAAAAGUUCGUCUGCUUCAGCGGUGUCACGUUUGAACUCUGUCAUUCCUCCAGAAAAAAGACCUCUGAAUAUGGCUCUCCUCAACUUGGUGGCGGUAUGCCAGCCACCAAAUACUAAAGAAGAAGAAGAAGAAGAAUGUAUACAGCGAACAGUAGAAAAGACUCCGAACAUGACAUGUGACUGGAUUGUCCUCUGCAAAGGCUGAUGUCAUGGCUUGGAUCUUUCCCUACAUCUCCUCUAUGCUAUGGAUGACUAAUAAUAAUAAUAAUAAUAAUAAUUAAUAAUUAUUUGUUUUUGUUUUAUUUUUUACCUCUCCCACCUACCUGAAGGACUGGAUUGUCCUCUGCAAAGGCUGAUGUCCUGGCUUGGAUCUUUCCCUACAUCUCCUCUAUGUAGCGUAGUUCAGGAACCACAUCCCAUAUAAUUUUAUUGAAUAUUACUUGUGUUUUUCAGUUUGUGGUUCAUAUUGUAUUGUUUUUUCAAGUAUCAAAUGUAUUAAUGAGGUGAAAUGAACCUAGUAAAUAAAUAACAUACCAUCCUGCUGUUACCAAAUGGCACAUCACCACCAUUAUGACAUG
Molecule: long non-coding RNA, 739 nt
Organism: Sardina pilchardus (European sardine)
Lineage: Eukaryota; Metazoa; Chordata; Actinopteri; Clupeiformes; Clupeidae
Exons: 3
Source: RefSeq, a predicted model, not a curated record